Molecule: ribosomal RNA, 705 nt
Filed under: Actinomadura sp. P3874
Lineage: Bacteria; Bacillati; Actinomycetota; Actinomycetes; Streptosporangiales; Thermomonosporaceae
Description: bacterial SSU rRNA
Rfam family: Bacterial small subunit ribosomal RNA
Source: RNAcentral
UCAGGACGAACGCUGGCGGCGUGCUUAACACAUGCAAGUCGAGCGGAAAGGCCCCUUCGGGGGUACUCGAGCGGCGAACGGGUGAGUAACACGUGAGCAACCUGCCCCUGACUCUGGGAUAAGCCCGGGAAACUGGGUCUAAUACCGGAUAUGACCAGCCUUCGCAUGGUGUGUUGGUGGAAAGUUUUUCGGUUGGGGAUGGGCUCGCGGCCUAUCAGCUUGUUGGUGGGGUGAUGGCCUACCAAGGCGACGACGGGUAACCGGCCUGAGAGGGCGACCGGUCACACUGGGACUGAGACACGGCCCAGACUCCUACGGGAGGCAGCAGUGGGGAAUAUUGCGCAAUGGGCGGAAGCCUGACGCAGCGACGCCGCGUGGGGGAUGACGGCCUUCGGGUUGUAAACCUCUUUCAGCAGGGACGAAGCUAACGUGACGGUACCUGCAGAAGAAGCGCCGGCUAACUACGUGCCAGCAGCCGCGGUAAUACGUAGGGCGCAAGCGUUGUCCGGAAUUAUUGGGCGUAAAGAGCUCGUAGGCGGUUUGUCGCGUCUGUCGUGAAAGCCCACGGCUUAACUGUGGGUCUGCGGUGGAUACGGGCAGACUAGAGGCAGGUAGGGGAGAAUGGAAUUCCCGGUGUAGCGGUGAAAUGCGCAGAUAUCGGGAGGAACACCGGUGGCGAAGGCGGUUCUCUGGGCCUGUACUGAC